RNAcentral lists this transfer-messenger RNA (369 nucleotides) under Sulfuricurvum sp. It matches the Rfam family "transfer-messenger RNA". Rfam says of the family: Bacterial tmRNA, also known as 10Sa RNA or SsrA, is named for its dual tRNA and mRNA-like properties. The record is from RNAcentral. RNAcentral also lists the same sequence under 2 other names. Lineage: Bacteria; Pseudomonadati; Campylobacterota; Epsilonproteobacteria; Campylobacterales; Sulfurimonadaceae.
GGGGGCGACAUGGCUUCGACGGGAUCAAGAAGGUUUAACUUGCAUGCCGGACUGAGCAUCUCCGUUAUACGGCUCAACUUGCUUAAACGCAAACAACACUAAUUAUCGUCCUGCUUACGCUGUAGCGUAAGUUUAACUUAACUUAGGACUGCUUCUCCUUCCGAUUCUAUCUACGAGGUUUUGGGAAGUAUAAUCAAUCAGAUAGAUAUAUUUGCGGGAUGUCUCGUCCGCAGAUGAAUUUAGGGGCUGGGACGGUGUAGCUUUGCACGUUGUGUGAAGCCGUCCAAGACUCAAACAACGUCUCUAAGCAUGUAGACGGUUUCACUAACUUGGUUUCGGACUCCGGUUCGAUUCCGGACGCUUCCACCA